GAUGAACGCUGGCGGCAUGCCUAACAUAUGCAAGUUGAACGAGAAGUUCCGGAACAAGUCUUCGGACAAGGGAAGGGACGGAAAGUAGCGAACGGGUGAGUAACGCGUGGGCAACCAACCUUACACUGGGGGAUAACACAGAGAAAUUUGUGCUAAUACCGCAUAAGCGCACAGGAUCACAUGAUCUGGUGUGAAAAACUCCGGUGGUGUAAGACGGGCCCGCGUCUGAUUAGCUAGUUGGUGAGGUAAAGGCUCACCAAGGCGACGAUCAGUAGCCGACCUGAGAGGGUGAUCGGCCACAUUGGGACUGAGACACGGCCCAAACUCCUACGGGAGGCAGCAGUGGGGGAUAUUGCACAAUGGAGGGAACUCUGAUGCAGCAAUGCCGCGUGAAGGAAGAAGGUUUUCGGAUUGUAAACUUCUAUCAGCAGGGAAGAAAAUGACGGUACCUGACUAAGAAGCCCCGGCUAACUAUGUGCCAGCAGCCGCGGUAAUACAUAGGGGGCAAGCGUUAUCCGGAAUGACUGGGUGUAAAGGGUGCGUAGGCGGUAAGGUAAGUCUGAUGUGAAAGACUGGGGCUCAACUCCAGGGGUGCAUUGGAAACUAUGUUACUAGAGUACAGGAGAGGGAAGCGGAAUUCCUAGUGUAGCGGUGAAAUGCGUAGAUAUUAGGAGGAACACCGGUGGCGAAGGCGGCUUUCUGGACUGAAACUGACGCUGAGGCACGAAAGCGUGGGGAGCAAACAGG
RNAcentral lists this ribosomal RNA (747 nucleotides) under uncultured Lachnospiraceae bacterium. RNAcentral describes it as "bacterial SSU rRNA". It matches the Rfam family "Bacterial small subunit ribosomal RNA", at positions 28 to 776 of the family's 1533-position model. The record is from RNAcentral. Lineage: Bacteria; Bacillati; Bacillota; Clostridia; Lachnospirales; Lachnospiraceae.